GACGAACGCUGGCGGCGUGCUUAACACAUGCAAGUCGAACGAAGAGCGAUGGAAGCUUGCUUCUAUCAAUCUUAGUGGCGAACGGGUGAGUAACGCGUAAUCAACCUGCCCUUCAGAGGGGGACAACAGUUGGAAACGACUGCUAAUACCGCAUACGAUCCGACCUCGGCAUCGAGGAUGGAUGAAAGGUGGCCUCUAUUUAUAAGCUAUCACUGAAGGAGGGGAUUGCGUCUGAUUAGCUAGUUGGGGGGGUAACGGCCCACCAAGGCAAUGAUCAGUAGCCGGUCUGAGAGGAUGAACGGCCACAUUGGGACUGAGACACGGCCCAGACUCCUACGGGAGGCAGCAGUGGGGAAUCUUCCGCAAUGGACGAAAGUCUGACGGAGCAACGCCGCGUGAGUGAUGACGGCCUUCGGGUUGUAAAGCUCUGUUAAUCGGGACGAAAGGUCUUCUUGCGAAUAGUUAGAAGAAUUGACGGUACCGGAAUAGAAAGCCACGGCUAACUACGUG
This 510-nucleotide ribosomal RNA is filed under the name uncultured bacterium. RNAcentral's name for it is "partial 16S ribosomal RNA". It matches the Rfam family "Bacterial small subunit ribosomal RNA", at positions 28 to 507 of the family's 1533-position model. The record is from RNAcentral.